Molecule: long non-coding RNA, 1519 nt
Filed under: Homo sapiens (human)
Lineage: Eukaryota; Metazoa; Chordata; Mammalia; Primates; Hominidae
Description: long non-coding RNA NONHSAT177823.1
Source: RNAcentral
CUCAGGACCACCUCAGUCCUUUAGUGAAGAAGAUUCAUUUAAAAAAUGUUCAUCUGAAGUUGAAGCUAAAAAUAAGAUUGAAGAACUACUUGCUAGUCUUUUAAACAGAGUAUGCCAAGAUGGAAGGAAGCCUCAUACAGUGAGAUUAAUAAUCCGUCGGUAUUCCUCUGAGAAGCACUAUGGUCGUGAGAGUCGUCAGUGCCCUAUUCCUUCACAUGUAAUUCAGAAAUUAGGGACAGGAAAUUAUGAUGUGAUGACCCCAAUGGUUGAUAUACUUAUGAAACUUUUUCGAAAUAUGGUGAAUGUGAAGAUGCCAUUUCACCUUACCCUUCUAAGUGUGUGCUUCUGCAACCUUAAAGCACUAAAUACUGCUAAGAAAGGGCUUAUUGAUUAUUAUUUAAUGCCAUCAUUAUCAACUACUUCACGCUCUGGCAAGCACAGUUUUAAAAUGAAAGACACUCAUAUGGAAGAUUUUCCCAAAGACAAAGAAACAAACCGGGAUUUCCUACCAAGUGGAAGAAUUGAAAGUACAAGAACUAGGGAGUCUCCACUAGAUACCACAAAUUUUUCUAAAGAAAAAGACAUUAAUGAAUUCCCACUCUGUUCACUUCCUGAAGGUGUUGACCAAGAAGUCUUCAAGCAGCUUCCAGUAGAUAUUCAAGAAGAAAUCCUUUCUGGAAAAUCUAGGGAAAAAUUUCAAGGGAAAGGAAGUGUGAGUUGUCCAUUACAUGCCUCUAGAGGAGUAUUAUCUUUCUUUUCUAAAAAACAAAUGCAAGAUAUUCCCAUAAAUCCUAGAGAUCAUUUAUCCAGUAGCAAACAGGUAUCCUCUGUAUCUCCUUGUGAACCGGGAACAUCAGGCUUUAAUAGCAGUAGUUCUUCUUACAUGUCUAGCCAAAAGGAUUAUUCAUAUUAUUUAGAUAAUAGAUUAAAAGAUGAACGAAUAAGUCAAGGACCUAAAGAACCUCAAGGAUUCCACUUUACAAAUUCAAACCCUGCUGUGUCUGCUUUUCAUUCAUUUCCAAACUUGCAGAGUGAGCAACUUUUCUCCAGAAACCACACUACAGAUAGCCAUAAGCAAACAGUAGCAACAGACUCUCAUGAAGGACUUACAGAAAAUAGAGAGCCAGAUUCUGUUGAUGAGAAAAUUACUUUCCCUUCUGACAUUGAUCCUCAAGUUUUCUAUGAACUACCAGAAGCAGUACAAAAGGAACUGCUGGCAGAGUGGAAGAGAGCAGGAUCAGAUUUCCACAUUGGACAUAAAUAAGCAUAUUCAGCAAAAAGGUCUGAAAAGCAAGGGAAUACCAUUAUUUUCGGAUUAGCGGUUUAUUAAGCUCUUCUAUAUUAAACACUAAUAGAUAUUCAAUAACGGAGUAAACUGUUCCAGAUAAAGCAAGAAUAGUUGCAAGAAGUAAAUUCUGGCACAAAGCGUAAAAAUAUAACAGAAGAAAUAAUGUAAAAUACUAUCUUUUAUGUCUAAAGCCAUUUUAUAUUACUUUUCAAUAAAAAGAAUAUCAUGGUC